GACGAACGCUGGCGGCGUGCUUAACACAUGCAAGUCGAACGGAAAGGCCCCUUUGGGGGUACUCGAGUGGCGCACGGGUGAGUAACACGUGAGUAACCUGCCCUUGACUUCGGGAUAACUUCAGGAAACUGGGGCUAAUACCGGAUAGGAAUCCUUGCUGCAUGGUGGGGGUUGGAAAGCUUCGGGGGGUUUGGUUGGCCCCGCGGGUUAUCACCUUGUUGUUGGGGUAGUGGGUUACCAAGGUUUUGACGGGUAGCCGGCCGGAGGGGGCGACCGGCCACAAUGGGGCUGAGAGAAGGCCCAGACUCCUAAGGGAGGGAACAGUGGGGAAGAUUGCACAAUGGGCGGAAGCCUGAUGCAGCAACGCCGCGGGCGGGAAGACGGCCUUCGGGUUGUAAAACGCGUUCAGCAGGGGCGAAGCUUGUGGUGACGGUACCUGCAGAAGAAGCACCGGCUAACUACGUG
This 465-nucleotide ribosomal RNA is filed under the name uncultured bacterium. RNAcentral describes it as "partial 16S ribosomal RNA". It matches the Rfam family "Bacterial small subunit ribosomal RNA", at positions 28 to 507 of the family's 1533-position model. The record is from RNAcentral.